GGGUCAGUAGGUUGGUCGUGCCACCGGUACGUACUGGUCUCACUGACUCCUCCUUCCUGAAGAACCGUAAUGCCAUUAAUUUGGUGUUGCGGGGAAAUAGGACUGUUACUUUGAAAAAAUUAGAGUGUUUAAAGCAAGCUAACGCUUGAAUACAUUAGCAUGGAAUAAUGAAAUAGGACGAUCGAUCCUAUUUUGUUGGUUUCUAGGAUUGACGUA
RNAcentral lists this ribosomal RNA (216 nucleotides) under Glomeromycotina sp. RNAcentral describes it as "partial small subunit ribosomal RNA". The stretch from base 54 to 216 matches the Rfam family "Eukaryotic small subunit ribosomal RNA", at positions 700 to 864 of the family's 1831-position model. The record is from RNAcentral. Lineage: Eukaryota; Fungi; Glomeromycota.